AUCAUGUGGUGAAGAUAUUGUCUAAGAAACUCCUUGAAUAUUUCCCAUGCAUCAGACAAAGACUCACCAUCUCCUUGUCAGAAUGAAGUGAUUUCAUUUCUCAUCUU
Small nucleolar RNA from Lathyrus oleraceus (garden pea), 107 nucleotides. Lineage: Eukaryota; Viridiplantae; Streptophyta; Magnoliopsida; Fabales; Fabaceae. The record is from RefSeq and is a predicted model, not a curated record.